AGGCAGCCUCCUUGCGACGAUAAAAUGGCAUGAGUGGCGUUAUUCUGCUCAUAGAUCACAUUUUCUGCUCUUCAGACUUGCUGAGUUGGAUAUUAAAAUCCUAUCUCUGAAGUUGGUCUAGUAAGCUCAAGUACAUU
Thalictrum thalictroides is the source of this 137-nucleotide non-coding RNA. The record is from the annotation of a GenBank genome assembly. Lineage: Eukaryota; Viridiplantae; Streptophyta; Magnoliopsida; Ranunculales; Ranunculaceae.